UUGGCUCAGGAUUAACGCUGGCGGCAUGCCUAAUACAUGCAAGUCGAAUGGGGAGCUUGCUUCCCAUGGCGAACGGGUGAGUAAUACGUAGGUAACCUACCUUUAGGACGAGGAUAACCUUUGGAAACGAAGGAUAAUACUGGAUAGUAUAGAUUUCCGCAUGGAGAUAUAUUUAAAGAUUUAUCACCUAGAGAGGGGCCUGCGGUGCAUUAGCUAGUUGGCGGGAUAAAAGCCCACCAAGGCGAUGAUGCAUAGCCGGACUGAGAGGUCGUACGGCCACAAUGGAACUGAGAACGGUCCAUACUCCUACGGGAGGCAGCAGUAGGGAAUUUUCGGCAAUGGGCGGAAGCCUGACCGAGCAAUGCCGCGUGAAUGAUGAAGUAUUUCGGUAUGUAAAGUUCUUUUAUCUAGGAAGAAAAACAAAUUGACGGUACUAGAUGAAUAAGCUCCGGCUAACUACGUGCCAGCAGCAGC
RNAcentral lists this ribosomal RNA (474 nucleotides) under uncultured bacterium. RNAcentral's name for it is "bacterial SSU rRNA". It matches the Rfam family "Bacterial small subunit ribosomal RNA", at positions 19 to 518 of the family's 1533-position model. The record is from RNAcentral.